This 1892-nucleotide ribosomal RNA is filed under the name Escherichia coli KTE79. RNAcentral describes it as "bacterial LSU rRNA". It matches the Rfam family "Bacterial large subunit ribosomal RNA", at positions 1055 to 2925 of the family's 2925-position model. Lineage: Bacteria; Pseudomonadati; Pseudomonadota; Gammaproteobacteria; Enterobacterales; Enterobacteriaceae. The record is from RNAcentral.
AUGGUUAAGUGGGAAACGAUGUGGGAAGGCCCAGACAGCCAGGAUGUUGGCUUAGAAGCAGCCAUCAUUUAAAGAAAGCGUAAUAGCUCACUGGUCGAGUCGGCCUGCGCGGAAGAUGUAACGGGGCUAAACCAUGCACCGAAGCUGCGGCAGCGACACUAUGUGUUGUUGGGUAGGGGAGCGUUCUGUAAGCCUGUGAAGGUGUACUGUGAGGUAUGCUGGAGGUAUCAGAAGUGCGAAUGCUGACAUAAGUAACGAUAAAGCGGGUGAAAAGCCCGCUCGCCGGAAGACCAAGGGUUCCUGUCCAACGUUAAUCGGGGCAGGGUGAGUCGACCCCUAAGGCGAGGCCGAAAGGCGUAGUCGAUGGGAAACAGGUUAAUAUUCCUGUACUUGGUGUUACUGCGAAGGGGGGACGGAGAAGGCUAUGUUGGCCGGGCGACGGUUGUCCCGGUUUAAGCGUGUAGGCUGGUUUUCCAGGCAAAUCCGGAAAAUCAAGGCUGAGGCGUGAUGACGAGGCACUACGGUGCUGAAGCAACAAAUGCCCUGCUUCCAGGAAAAGCCUCUAAGCAUCAGGUAACAUCAAAUCGUACCCCAAACCGACACAGGUGGUCAGGUAGAGAAUACCAAGGCGCUUGAGAGAACUCGGGUGAAGGAACUAGGCAAAAUGGUGCCGUAACUUCGGGAGAAGGCACGCUGAUAUGUAGGUGAAGCGACUUGCUCGUGGAGCUGAAAUCAGUCGAAGAUACCAGCUGGCUGCAACUGUUUAUUAAAAACACAGCACUGUGCAAACACGAAAGUGGACGUAUACGGUGUGACGCCUGCCCGGUGCCGGAAGGUUAAUUGAUGGGGUUAGCGGUAACGCGAAGCUCUUGAUCGAAGCCCCGGUAAACGGCGGCCGUAACUAUAACGGUCCUAAGGUAGCGAAAUUCCUUGUCGGGUAAGUUCCGACCUGCACGAAUGGCGUAAUGAUGGCCAGGCUGUCUCCACCCGAGACUCAGUGAAAUUGAACUCGCUGUGAAGAUGCAGUGUACCCGCGGCAAGACGGAAAGACCCCGUGAACCUUUACUAUAGCUUGACACUGAACAUUGAGCCUUGAUGUGUAGGAUAGGUGGGAGGCUUUGAAGUGUGGACGCCAGUCUGCAUGGAGCCGACCUUGAAAUACCACCCUUUAAUGUUUGAUGUUCUAACGUUGGCCCCUAAUCGGGGUUGCGGACAGUGUCUGGUGGGUAGUUUGACUGGGGCGGUCUCCUCCUAAAGAGUAACGGAGGAGCACGAAGGUUGGCUAAUCCUGGUCGGACAUCAGGAGGUUAGUGCAAUGGCAUAAGCCAGCUUGACUGCGAGCGUGACGGCGCGAGCAGGUGCGAAAGCAGGUCAUAGUGAUCCGGUGGUUCUGAAUGGAAGGGCCAUCGCUCAACGGAUAAAAGGUACUCCGGGGAUAACAGGCUGAUACCGCCCAAGAGUUCAUAUCGACGGCGGUGUUUGGCACCUCGAUGUCGGCUCAUCACAUCCUGGGGCUGAAGUAGGUCCCAAGGGUAUGGCUGUUCGCCAUUUAAAGUGGUACGCGAGCUGGGUUUAGAACGUCGUGAGACAGUUCGGUCCCUAUCUGCCGUGGGCGCUGGAGAACUGAGGGGGGCUGCUCCUAGUACGAGAGGACCGGAGUGGACGCAUCACUGGUGUUCGGGUUGUCAUGCCAAUGGCACUGCCCGGUAGCUAAAUGCGGAAGAGAUAAGUGCUGAAAGCAUCUAAGCACGAAACUUGCCCCGAGAUGAGUUCUCCCUGACUCCUUGAGAGUCCUGAAGGAACGUUGAAGACGACGACGUUGAUAGGCCGGGUGUGUAAGCGCAGCGAUGCGUUGAGCUAACCGGUACUAAUGAGCCGUGAGGCUUAACCUU